Molecule: ribosomal RNA, 429 nt
Filed under: Verrucomicrobiota bacterium
Lineage: Bacteria; Pseudomonadati; Verrucomicrobiota
Description: Verrucomicrobia bacterium partial 16S ribosomal RNA
Rfam family: Bacterial small subunit ribosomal RNA
Source: RNAcentral
UAGGGAAUCUUCCGCAAUGGACGAAAGUCUGACGGAGCAACGCCGCGUGAGUGAAGAAGGAUUUCGGUUCGUAAAACUCUGUUGUUAGGGAAGAAAAAAUGUAUAGUAACUAUAUACAAAAGAGACGGUACCUAACCAGAAAGCCACGGCUAACUACGUGCCAGCAGCCGCGGUAAUACGUAGGUGGCAAGCGUUGUCCGGAAUUAUUGGGCGUAAAGCGCGCGCAGGUGGUUUAGAAAGUCAGAUGUGAAAGCCCACGGCUCAACCGGGGAGAGUCAUUGGAAACUAAUAAACUUGAGUGCAGGGGAGUAAAGUGGAAUUCCUAGUGUAGCGGUGAAAUGCGUAGAGAUUAGGAGGAACACCGGUGGCGAAAGCGGCUUUUUGGCCUGCAACUGACACUGUGGCGCGAAAGCGUGGGGAGCAAACAGG